Molecule: non-coding RNA, 4202 nt
Organism: Arvicanthis niloticus (Nile rat)
Lineage: Eukaryota; Metazoa; Chordata; Mammalia; Rodentia; Muridae
Source: RefSeq, a predicted model, not a curated record
CAAAACCCAGCAAUAUGACUGUAAAUGGUACAUUCCGCUCACGGACCUCAGCUUCCAGAUGGGAUGAAUUGGAGGCACUACCCAACAUCCCUCUGGUGCCAGAUGAGGAACUGGAUGCCUUGAAGAUCAAAAUCUCCCAAAUCAAGAGCGACAUCCAACGAGAGAAGAGGCCAAACAAGGGCAGCAAGGUCAUGGAGAGCUGAGGAAGAAAGCUGUCAGAAGCAGGAGUCACUGCUGCUGUUGAUGUCCCCCAGCAUGGCCUUUCAGGGUUCACUAGUCGCAAACGGCAAGAGUUACACAUUCCUUAUUUCCUCUGACUAUGAGCGAGCUGAGUGGAGAGAAAGCAUCCGGGAGCAGCAGAAGAAAUGUUUCAAAAGUUUCUCUCUGACAUCUGUGGAGCUACAAAUGCUGACCAACUCGUGUGUAAAACUCCAGACUGUUCACCACAUUCCACUGACCAUCAACAAAGAAGAUGAUGAGUCUCCUGGACUCUACGGCUUCCUGCAUGUUAUCGUCCACUCAGCCACCGGGUUUAAGCAGAGCUCAAAUCUGUACUGCACCCUGGAGGUGGAUUCCUUUGGAUAUUUUGUGAAUAAAGCGAAGACUCGAGUCUACAGGGAUACGACUGAGCCAAACUGGAAUGAGGAGUUUGAGAUCGAGCUAGAAGGCUCCCAGACCCUGCGGAUACUAUGUUACGAAAAGUGUUACAACAAAAUGAAGAUGACAAAGGAGGAUGGCGAGAGCGCAGACAAGCUCAUGGGGAAAGGCCAGGUCCAGCUGGACCCCCAGACCCUACAGGACAGAGACUGGCAGCGGACUGUCAUCGACAUGAAUGGAAUUGAAGUGAAACUCUCGGUCAAGUUCACCAGCAGGGAGUUCAGCCUGAAGAGAAUGCCCUCCCGAAAACAGACCGGGGUCUUCGGUGUCAAGAUUGCUGUGGUCACAAAGAGAGAGAGGUCUAAGGUACCUUACAUUGUGCGCCAGUGUGUGGAGGAGAUCGAACGCCGGGGUAUGGAGGAGGUGGGCAUCUACCGAGUGUCUGGAGUGGCCACAGACAUCCAGGCACUGAAGGCAGCCUUUGAUGUCAAUAACAAGGAUGUGUCCGUAAUGAUGAGCGAGAUGGACGUGAACGCCAUCGCUGGCACGCUGAAGCUCUACUUCCGUGAGCUGCCCGAGCCCCUCUUCACUGAUGAGUUCUACCCUAACUUCGCAGAAGGCAUUGCUCUUUCAGACCCUGUUGCAAAGGAGAGCUGCAUGCUCAACCUGCUGCUGUCCCUCCCAGAAGCCAACCUGCUGACCUUCCUCUUCCUCCUGGACCACUUGAAAAGGGUAGCUGAAAAGGAGACGGUGAACAAGAUGUCCCUGCACAACCUCGCCACGGUCUUUGGCCCCACGCUGCUUCGGCCCUCAGAGAAGGAAAGCAAGCUUCCUGCUAACCCCAGCCAGCCCAUCACCAUGACUGACAGCUGGUCCCUGGAGGUCAUGUCCCAGGUCCAAGUGUUGCUGUACUUCCUGCAGCUGGAGGCCAUCCCUGCCCCCGACAGCAAGAGACAAAGCAUCCUGUUUUCCACUGAAGUCUGAAAGCCUGGUGUCAGUCAUCUCAUUAAGAGACUUACAGAAUGACCUGGAAACCUGUGACGAGAGAACCCACCCACGGGGCGGGAAUGAGACCCUUCCUGCGGUGUAAUUUAGCCAUUCCGAAGCUCUGGGCCAUCUGCCAAGAGACAAGUCCCCAAAGCAAAAGGCCAGGGGGCCUACACGAAUCCAGGUGUGUCUGCAAGCCCCAGGCUGGCCCCAGACUGUACUUUUUUCCUUGUUGCCACCAGAGGGCACCCCAAGCCAGCCCAUCUGCAAGCCUGCGGACAAGGGGAAAGAGGCGGAGAAGAGAAGUGGUUUUUACAAAUCUAAUUUAUCAGAGUUUAAAAAAAAAAAAAAAUCUCUACUGGAUCAUUUGUUCCGAUGCACCCUCUCUGGGGAAUAGGGACACCAUCAGAUCCCAUACUAUUGUGUCUUGAAUAAACACUGCUGCUGUUUCGUAUUGUGGGGGCCACAGCCAUGUCCCUCUGUAUAGGUGGGGGUGCCUUCACUAUCCCCUGACUUAGAAACUCCGCUGUAUGUGUGACAGGGUCUGAGAUGCCGAAUCAACACUGUAACACCAUCAGCCCUUGUUCUGUCUUCCCAGAAGGAUGUCUGUGCAGAAGUAGGUCAGGCUCCUCUCCGCUGAUAGUCUUCUUUUGGCUAUUUAUCCACCUCUCAGGAGUGUGCUCCUUCGCAGCCCGGAAGUAUCCAGGGACCUGACACAGGGAAAGGAGACCUUGGUCAUCACGCACCUUACAAUUCCUUCUGUGGAGAGAGUGGCUGUGCCCAUUGAUCCUUACUGCCUGCCUGGCAUUGGCGCUCCCUUCUGUCUUACAAAGGCUGUGAUUUCUCUGGCCUGGCUCUGACUGCCGUCUCUGUCCCUCAUUGCCCCACAUAAGAGAUCACUCCGUUUCUUUGCACCCGACUGAGCAGACUCGGUUUACCUUUCUAAGACGUCUCUGCUCUGAAGCAGCAGCUUCCUCUAGUGGCUUGUUUUAAUACUUUGAUCCGAAAUAGCUUUUGAUACUUGAAUAUUUUUAAGUUUUAUACAUAGUUUCUAAUUCUUUUUUUCCUAAUGGAUUCAGACACCUAAUAAGAUACCAGAAUGUACACCGUGGACGGGCCGUGUCCAGGCAGUAUUUUGUCUUCCUUGGAGAGCCGGCUUCGUUUUUGUUUGGAGUCAUUUCUGAUGUCUCUGGGACCUCAGAAAUACGGGAAGAAGGUUAGGGAAGUCAGGCCUGGGAGUAGGAGCAACCGCCCCAAAGCAGAUUGAAAGCUAGCCCACCUGUGCUCUCCUACCUCCCUCCCUGUCGCUGGGUGGGAGUCAGGGUGGUCUCUUACUGGCCACCCUACUUAGCAAAAGAGAAAGGGGGAAAACCACUGAUUGCUUUCAAGAACGAAUUCCAUAGAUCCUUGCAUCAUUUUUAAAAGGGUGGAAUCCCACCCUUGGGAGACAGAGGCAGAGUUGCCUCGAGCUCAGGACCAGCCUCGACAGCAUAGUACUUACCAGGGCAGCCAGGACUAUAGUGCAGGGCCGUCCUACAAGGGCCUCAGAGUAGACAGGUGGAGAAGAAAAAGGCUGACGAGAGACUUGAAUCCUGAGCUGCUCCUGCAGGAAGGCAUCAUUUAGGGGUGUAGACCACUUGUCACUUGAGGACUCCUGAACCUGGUCACAUACUUUAUGGCCCUCCCAUGUCUAGAAGGUGGGGAUGCCCACCAACGGCAUCCAUCAACCCCCCCAUAGCACAUGGGGAUCCCUGAGAGGCAGAGCCAUGUAUUCCCCUCCCGUGUGCUCUUGAACCUGUCUGAGGUAUUGGGCAGGGAACAAAAGACCCCCCCCACAGGGUCUCUGUUUGCAUACAGUGUUUAGUCCUUUUUUUUUUUCUCAGCAGAGCUACCUAUUGGUCUGCCUUUGAACAUUUUUGGACCCAGUGGGCUUCUCUAGUUUGACUGCCCAUCCCAGUCCGUGUUGUGGCUCUGGCCCUGUAAGGGGAGCACUUCUGAGAAAAGCCAAACCCAGCUAUUGUUUCUGCAUUCCUGGUCCCGACCCCUUUGUCUCUUGAUUUGCUGCGUCUGUCACCUUGAACUGGAAAGCAAUAUAUCAAUGUGCCAAUGUGCAUUCCCUGGCCCAUCCCCUGCCUCAGUUCAUUUUAUUUAUAUAGGAGGUUAUAUGUUAUUUGAUGAUGGAAUGAGCAUCCUUGUGUUUUUCUAAAAAAAAAAAAAAAAGUGCUCCUCCGUCAUUGGGCCACAGCGGCAACAACUGGGGCUGCCUCUCGUACCGCCUCACCCCUCGCAGGCCUCUUAAGCUGGCAGAGAAAAUAACAUGGCUGGCGUUGUCUAGGAGUGGGGUGAUUCAGCUUUCAUUCUGCAAAGAGAAUGAUGGCCCUGGUCUGUUGUGACCGCCCACCAGGCAUGACUGCCAGACUCUAUAGGAAGAAGUGAUACUUUCUUACCUUGGAACCUGGGUCCUGGGCACAGUGGGCUUGGCUUUCCUGGUGGUAGCCUGGACUCCACAGUGGGUGGAUGAUCUCUUAGCCGCGGUCCUGCUUUUGAGUUCAGCUGUCUGUACUAUUCUGUGCCGGAAGGACCACGGACACUCUCAUUAAAGUCUCCUGAGACUACUU